CCUUAAGGAUGUUUGUAUAUUGGAUUUCGGAUUUGAUCUUAUCAAAUUUGGUUCAGAUUCAAUAAUUGGUGUCGGUUCUUCUAUCUAUCAAAUUUUAUCAAGCUCAAUUUUAGAGGCAUUUAUUCCUUCACUAAGAAUUUUUUUUUUCAAAAAGUGUGCUUUAUUACUGACAAAUAUCUUUUGUUCAGCAGGCUGGUAAAAGUAACAUCCCAUCAUUUCUUUGAGAUACCC
RNAcentral lists this long non-coding RNA (231 nucleotides) under Elaeis guineensis (African oil palm). RNAcentral's name for it is "long non-coding RNA (EGUI_LNC044961)". Lineage: Eukaryota; Viridiplantae; Streptophyta; Magnoliopsida; Arecales; Arecaceae. The record is from RNAcentral.